GGUUGCUGAGUUCUUUCUGCAAACAGCUGCUGAAGAGUUAACAGACUGCGCUGAGUAUCAGUCCUGCAUCAGGGUCACCAUGAGCAAGUACACAGUCCAGGUCUCCACUGGUGACGUUCUUUAUGCUGGCACCUCUAACAGGAUCUACAUCAAGUUAAUUGGUGCAAUCUGUAAUAGUGGACCACAUCAUCUUCACACAGUAACAGGCUUUUGGGCUGGAUCGGAGCAAACGUUCACAGUCGAGUGCAAAGAAAAUAUCGGCCAACUCUUACUGGUUGAACUGGAAGCUAAGUCACCAUUUUUUCUGC
Long non-coding RNA from Pygocentrus nattereri (red-bellied piranha), 308 nucleotides. RefSeq lists it as uncharacterized. The record is from RefSeq and is a predicted model, not a curated record. NCBI's taxonomy places the organism in Eukaryota, Metazoa, Chordata, Actinopteri, Characiformes, Serrasalmidae. The transcript is spliced from 3 exons.